GGGGGAGUCCCUGAGGUCACCCUACCCCUCCUGUUUGAGAACUUGGAAACCAAUGAGAUCCCCACCCCUAAACCAUAUAUAUUCAUGUAUGGGACAAUAUAACAAAUAAAAUGAAAUGUAGGGGAAGUCCCUAGGGUCACCCUACCCCCAGUGGCGGAUCCAGAAAUUUUCAUAAGUGGGGCCCACUGACUGACCUAAGAGGGGCCGCUCC
RNAcentral lists this long non-coding RNA (211 nucleotides) under Mytilus galloprovincialis (Mediterranean mussel). The record is from RNAcentral. Lineage: Eukaryota; Metazoa; Mollusca; Bivalvia; Mytilida; Mytilidae.